This is a long non-coding RNA of Gavialis gangeticus (Gharial), 1337 nucleotides long. RefSeq lists it as uncharacterized. The transcript has 4 exons. NCBI's taxonomy places the organism in Eukaryota, Metazoa, Chordata, Crocodylia, Gavialidae. The record is from RefSeq and is a predicted model, not a curated record.
CAACAGCUGAGGUGUUUCUCAGAAUACAGAGACAGCUCAACAUUAAUAGGAAGCAUCCUCCAAUCAUUAUACUGACAGGUUUAAUAGUUCUGUUGUAGUUCUACACAUCUAAAUCCAUCAGGCCAAAAUGGAUGGAUGGGAAGGAUGUAUUUUGCCUGAGUAAAGGCACCUGGAGACACUGUGCUAAUAGUGCAGGAUGUCAGAAUAAGUCACCUUGAACAUCUCGCCUAGACCAGUGACUAUCAAUACACCUGAAAAGAAAUAGAGCCCAUGUCCCUCCCAGCACAGUCCUGCUUCUGCGUGCAGGUGGCCAUAUAAUGCCACUUCCUACAGGCAUUGAGCUCUCCUGGCACCCUGAGCAAACUCCUAUGGCCACACUGUACUAUUGUGGAGUCUAUGUAGGAGUGCUGAGUAGUCUGGGAAGCUGCAAUGUGGACACAGUACAGGAAUUUGCAUACUGUACAGUCCCUGGGUCAGGAAGUGCAGUGUGCUCCAACAGGCUGAGACCAUUCCAUUUCUGUGUAAUUACUGCCAAUUGUGCAAGUCCUGCACUUCAUCAGGCAGCUGCACCACGUACCAACAGGCUCUGAAGUAUUCUUAGCCAAUGCUACCUUAAGAAGUGCAGAUAAUUUAAAAUCCAUUUUAAGUUACUUCCUGCAUGCUAUUUAGACUUCAUUUUCACCUCAGACACAUAAUGAAGCAGUAGUUUAAUAAGUAAUGCAUUACUGACAGAGCAGAAGGAACAAAUGGCCAACUUAUUUGUUUUAGAAGGAGCAUGUAAUAAAAAAGAUUCAGUCUACUGUACUGUGCCCAUGAACUUUAAACCCCUGAUUAAGGCAAAGGCACAGUGUCCAAGAAAAAUUUCCUGCUCUAGUAGACUGCAAUGUGGGACCAAAGCCCAAAGACUCCCAAGACAUUUCAAUAGCCAGUAACCAGCUGCAUGUCCUGGGAGGAAUAGCUAACCUGAGAGCAGCUUUCCUUCUACACAAUCUCUGUUGGCCUAAGGAGCCUGCCUGGAACUGCCCUGUAUAGGAGAAAAGGGAAUGUUUCUCUGAUCAAGUACUGGACAAGACCUGUGCAGGAAGGGAAAAGAAGGCAUCUUUGUCUUGGUUUGGUUUGGUUUGGUUUUGCACCAGUUUUGCUUCAAAAUGACAUCCAUGUGAAGAACUCUCCUUGAAUCAGGGUACUCAACAGCAGGCAUCAAUGACUUGGAAGGGAAAGGUACAGUUCCCCAUCAGCAAAGCCCCAAGGUCUGCAAGAUUAUAACAUGGGAGAGAAGCCAAGUACCUGUAAAUGCAAGGUGAAGUAGGUGGCAGUCACAUAGGUAUGCAGGAGCA